CAGCACCUUUCGAGCCAGGGAUUCUGAUGCUCCCAACGCUGUAAAGACCUUUCAAGCGUUGGGGUUCUGGGGAAUUAGUGGAAAGAGAAUUAUUGCAUUUUGCAGGCUUAAGAAAGCAUCCAGUGAUGAAGGUGAUGAGUGCCCUCCUGAUUCCAAUGUUGACGUGAAAGGCUGAAAGCUACAUAAUAAGCUUGUCAUGUCUUUAAGCUCGUCAGUCUAACUCUUCUAGUAAUUAUUGAAAAUGUAGUGUCAUUUACUUGUGUUAUUAUGAAGACAUGAAAAAGGUGUUGUGAUGUAUCUUCUACUCUCCUAGUUCUUUUAUUAAGAAUGUAGGAUUAUUUGUGUUAUUACCAAGACAAGGAGAAAGGUGGUUUAAUGUUUUGAUUCUGGUACGUUUGAUGAUGAAGCUUUUAUCAGAGUAACUUGGUGUUGAGGAA
Molecule: long non-coding RNA, 437 nt
Organism: Lycium ferocissimum
Lineage: Eukaryota; Viridiplantae; Streptophyta; Magnoliopsida; Solanales; Solanaceae
Exons: 2
Source: RefSeq, a predicted model, not a curated record